GGGCCUAUAGCUCAGCUGGAAGAGCCACCGGCUCAUAACCGGUAGGUCAGUGGUUCGAAUCCACUUAGGCCCA
This 73-nucleotide transfer RNA is filed under the name bacterium. RNAcentral describes it as "tRNA-Ile". It matches the Rfam family "tRNA". Rfam says of the family: Transfer RNA (tRNA) molecules are approximately 80 nucleotides in length. The record is from RNAcentral. RNAcentral also lists the same sequence under 1 other name.